GGGAAUGUGGCUUAGUGGUACAGUGCUUGCCUAGCAUGCAUGAAUCCCUGGGUUCAAUUCCUCAGCACCA
RNAcentral lists this transfer RNA (70 nucleotides) under Dipodomys ordii (Ord's kangaroo rat). It matches the Rfam family "tRNA". Rfam says of the family: Transfer RNA (tRNA) molecules are approximately 80 nucleotides in length. Their secondary structure includes four short double-helical elements and three loops (D, anti-codon, and T loops). The record is from Rfam by way of RNAcentral. Lineage: Eukaryota; Metazoa; Chordata; Mammalia; Rodentia; Heteromyidae.